CCUACGGGCGGCAGCAGUGAGGAAUAUUGGUCAAUGGACGCAAGUCUGAACCAGCCAUGCCGCGUGCAGGAAGACGGCUCUAUGAGUUGUAAACUGCUUUUGUACGAGGGUAAACGCAGAUACGCGUAUCUGUCUGAAAGUAUCGUACGAAUAAGGAUCGGCUAACUCGGUGCCAGCAGCCGCGGUAAUACGGAGGAUUCAAGCGUUAUCCGGAUUUAUUGGGUUUAAAGGGUGCGUAGGCGGUCGGAUAAGUUAGAGGUGAAAUCCCGAGGCUCAACUUCGGAAUUGCCUUUGAUACUGUUCGGCUGGAGAGUAGUUGCGGUAGGCGGAAUGUAUGGUGUAGCGGUGAAAUGCUUAGAGAUAAUACAGAACACCGAUUGCGAGGGCAGCUUACCAAGCUACUUCUGACGUUGAGGAACGAAGGCGUGGGGAGAAAAAAGGAUUAGAACCCUUGUAGUC
RNAcentral lists this ribosomal RNA (459 nucleotides) under uncultured bacterium. RNAcentral describes it as "partial 16S ribosomal RNA". It matches the Rfam family "Bacterial small subunit ribosomal RNA", at positions 338 to 795 of the family's 1533-position model. The record is from RNAcentral.